Long non-coding RNA from Zingiber officinale, 662 nucleotides. RefSeq lists it as uncharacterized. The record is from RefSeq and is a predicted model, not a curated record. NCBI's taxonomy places the organism in Eukaryota, Viridiplantae, Streptophyta, Magnoliopsida, Zingiberales, Zingiberaceae. The transcript is spliced from 3 exons.
CAACAAGAUAGUGGCGAUGGGGUUCUUCAGUACGGUGUUUGGUUUCUUUAGAUUUGGAUGGGGGAUCACCCUCAUCUUAGUCAUAGGUAGUACCUGUGAAUCGUCUCCUAGUCCGCCGACGUCAAAGUGGGAUGAUUUUGGUUCCUCUCUGGAUGGUUUCUUUCGCUUCUUCCAUAUCCUGGUAUAUACUCUGGCCCUAAACAUCAGAUUGAUGAUGUACUAGAAGGCAUUGAAACAUUCAGGAGUAACUUAUUCUAUUGGUGUUGAACAAGAAGGAUUUAAUCAAGCCAGGGGAAAUUGCAAAGAGUCUUGAGGACCAUGAUGCUGAGCUAUGUUCCAUCUACUUCGACCGAGAUUGCAACAUGGAGUUCCAGGACUGCAAGCAUCAGAUGUGUGCCCAUUGCAUACUUGCCUUAUGCUGUCAUGGCAAGCACUACCCAACAACCUUGUGUUUGCCAUCAGCUGUUUGUCCGUUUUGCCGUAGCAACAUUUCAAAGCUGGUGAAGACCAUGACAACACCUCAAAGACCUCAAAUUAUGCCAAAGAAGUAGACCCAAAAAUACAAAAAAUUUAAAAAAUUUGUAACGGCUAGUUAACGGCUAGUUCGAAAUCUCUAUAAAUAUCCAUCAAUAUGUACACAUAUUUUUAUUCCAACUCACUAC